Molecule: long non-coding RNA, 645 nt
Organism: Coregonus clupeaformis (lake whitefish)
Lineage: Eukaryota; Metazoa; Chordata; Actinopteri; Salmoniformes; Salmonidae
Exons: 5
Source: RefSeq, a predicted model, not a curated record
CUAAGGUUUCUUCCUCCCCAACAAUCCCAAGGCCCAGAGUUUCUUCUGGCCACUUUCUAGUAGGUUUAGGAAAGUAAACAUUUCACCAAUCAAGCCAAGGAUCAGUUUUUCACCUUCCCCAAUGGGUGGGGGUAUCCUUGGACCCUCAGCUCUUGCAACCUCCACCACCAAACAUGUAACGUUGCAUUAGCUAGAGUAACAAGAUACUAUCAUCAUGAAACGAUUCUGCAAAUGGCACCGGACUACAGCCAUAUAGUUUUGAACCUAGAAGAAGACUGAGAGACGGGAGUAGGCAAGAAGGAGUUGACCGGGAUUGGCGAGAUUAAUGUCCAGUUGGCCAGAAAAGCAUGGUUUGUCAUCUGAUUUCUUGGAGCCUCGUGGAGACAUAUGCAACCAUACUACAAGGCAGGACAUUUCUCUGCAUCCAGGUUGAGGCUUGCUACCAGCAGGAACAUGGAGCACUCUGUCAGUGCUACAGAAAAAGAAUGGUCCAUGGACCUCCAGAGCCUUCUGACCAACUACCUGCGAUCUCUCCAGAGCACAGAGAAAGACGAGAAGGAGGAGACAGAGAGAGAGAGGAGGUGCUGACAAGUACAUCACGCGACAGUGUGGGCUGCAACGGAUCCAGUCAAAUUAAGGCCAGUA